UAGGUUUUAGUUUAAAUAGAAUUCUUGACUGUUAAUCGAGAGGAAGUGUGUAUAGCUAAACUUAA
Ruditapes philippinarum (Manila clam) is the source of this 65-nucleotide non-coding RNA. The record is from the annotation of a RefSeq genome assembly. Lineage: Eukaryota; Metazoa; Mollusca; Bivalvia; Venerida; Veneridae.